RNAcentral lists this ribosomal RNA (254 nucleotides) under Salmonella enterica. Its description in RNAcentral is "partial 23S ribosomal RNA". It matches the Rfam family "Bacterial large subunit ribosomal RNA", at positions 1 to 246 of the family's 2925-position model. Lineage: Bacteria; Pseudomonadati; Pseudomonadota; Gammaproteobacteria; Enterobacterales; Enterobacteriaceae. RNAcentral also lists the same sequence under 1 other name. The record is from RNAcentral.
GGGUUGUGAGGUUAAGCGACUAAGCGUACACGGUGGAUGCCCUGGCAGUCAGAGGCGAUGAAGGACGUGCUAAUCUGCGAUAAGCGCCGGUAAGGUGAUAUGAACCGUUAUAACCGGCGAUUUCCGAAUGGGGAAACCCAGUGUGACUCGUCACACUAUCAUUAACUGAAUCCAUAGGUUAAUGAGGCGAACCGGGGGAACUGAAACAUCUAAGUACCCCGAGGAAAAGAAAUCAACCGAGAUUCCCCCAGUAG